This 821-nucleotide small RNA is filed under the name uncultured Verticillium. Its description in RNAcentral is "eukaryotic LSU rRNA". The stretch from base 541 to 821 matches the Rfam family "Eukaryotic large subunit ribosomal RNA", at positions 1 to 281 of the family's 3401-position model. The record is from RNAcentral. Lineage: Eukaryota; Fungi; Ascomycota; Sordariomycetes; Hypocreales.
CUUGGUCAUUUAGAGGAAGUAAAAGUCGUAACAAGGUCUCCGUUGGUGAACCAGCGGAGGGAUCAUUACCGAGUACUAUAACUCAUAACCCUUUGUGAACCUUUAUACCUGUUGCUUCGGCGGCGCGCCUCCCGGGGCGUGCCCGCCGGCAUUAUCAGAAUCUCUGUUCGAACCCGACGAUACAUCUGAGUGUUCUAAGCGAACUGUUAAAACUUUCAACAACGGAUCUCUUGGCUCCAGCAUCGAUGAAGAACGCAGCGAAACGCGAUAUGUAAUGUGAAUUGCAGAAUUCAGUGAAUCAUCGAAUCUUUGAACGCACAUGGCGCCUUCCAGUAUCCUGGGAGGCAUGCCUGUCCGAGCGUCGUUUCAACCCUCGAGCCCCCGUGGCCCGGCGUUGGGGAUCUGCCCCGGCACUCCCCGAAAACCACUGGCGGACCCGUUGGGCCCYUCCUUUGCGUACUAACAUCUGCCUCGCAUCGGGAGCCYGCGGGSUAUCCGGCCUCUAAACCCCCCUCAAGCCCGCUCCGGCGGCACCAAGGUUGACCUCGGAUCAGGUAGGAAUACCCGCUGAACUUAAGCAUAUCAAUAAGCGGAGGAAAAGAAACCAACAGGGAUUGCCUCAGUAACGGCGAGUGAAGCGGCAACAGCUCAAAUUUGAAAUCUGGCUCCUUCGGGGCCCGAGUUGUAAUUUGCAGAGGAUGCUUCGGGUACGGGUUCCUUCCGAGUUCCCUGGAACGGGACGCCAUAGAGGGUGAGAGCCCCGUCUGGUAGGACACCCAGCCCGUGUGAAGCUCCCUCGACGAGUCGAGUUGUUUGGGAAU